This is a long non-coding RNA of Artibeus jamaicensis (Jamaican fruit-eating bat), 2556 nucleotides long. RefSeq lists it as uncharacterized. Lineage: Eukaryota; Metazoa; Chordata; Mammalia; Chiroptera; Phyllostomidae. The transcript is spliced from 3 exons. The record is from RefSeq and is a predicted model, not a curated record.
CGGCGCUGCGCUCCGGGGCGGGAGCUGGGCUGGCGGAGCGUGGCCCCUAAAGCCCCGGCGCCGCCCGGGGGCGGGGAAGCAGCAGCGCCCGCCCCGUCGCCGCCCCAGCUGGGACCGCACGGCAGAAAGGGGGAAAGUGGAGGAGAAUAUCGAUCGUUGCCUGUCAACACGCCCCAACCUGCGUGCGAGUCAACGGGCGACCCAACGGCCACCUACCGAUUUACGAGAUGAUGCCCAACCAACUGAGCCACACAGGCUGGCAACUCCGAGUCCCCUGCUGGAGCUGAGACACGACGAUGUGGCCCUGGACAGGUCCCGCGGCCACCAGCCAGAGCCAGCAGAGCCCAGCCGUUCCGCCGGAGAAGCGGCUGCUCCAGGGCCACCCACAGCCGGGCUGUGUCAGUGAAGCCACCUGCACUGCUGUCCUUCAUGGCAGCCCACGUGGGGGGUUUCCCACUGUUUAAUGUUCUUUUUCUCAAUUGUCUUCUUCUCUUCUCAUUUAAUUUUUUUUUUAAUUUGUUCUUUUCCCCAUUUUUUUCUUUAGAUUUUUUUUAGUUAAUUAGCAUUGUUUAUUAGUACUGUUCGUUAGCAUUGUUAGUACAGUGAAUAUAGUUAAUAUGAGUGGAGUUGCUAUAGUUAGCAUUGUUUAUUAGCACAGUUAGUAUGUUACCAUAGAACAGUUAGUGCUGUUAGCAAAGUUAGUAAGCACAGUUAGCAUCGACAGUGUUGUCGGUAUGGUCGGCAAGUCGCCAUGUCCAAUGACCUUGCAGCCAUCCCUGCCAACAAAGGGCCCCAUGUUGGCCUUUAUGAGCUCCUGAAAACCACUGGCCAGGGAACCUUUGUCAAUGCAAGGGUGGCCCAGCACAUUCUGAUGGGGACAGAGGUGGCUGUCAAAGUCAUUAAUUGGUGGGGCUCCCCUAUACUUUUUCAAGAAGCCCACUACAUGAAGGGCUUGAAUCACCGGUAACAGUUAUUUGAGGAGACUGACACCGGGAAACAUUACUCUUUUCUGACACUGGCUUGGUUACCUGGAGGGCCGCACGACUGGGGAGCAGGCCGGAGCCCUGUUCUGUGUCAGCGGUACAGCACCGCCACCAGAGGGACAUCAUCCACAGGGGCCUGCAGCCAGACAACAUCCUCAGAGAUGCUGAGCCGACUGGCAGACUGGCAGCCUUCGGCCUCAGUAGUGAAUUCAUUGGCCGUGAGCGUCCUGUGGCAUCCUCUCUUAUGUCGCCCCGGAGCCCUUCUGCCGCCAAACGUACCGUAGCCCCGGGGUUGACGUAUGGAGCCUGGGGGUAGUUCUGUGCGGGGACCCUGCUGUUUGUGGGGGAGCACUUUUGAGAUGAAGCAUCGGAUGCGGAGUGGACACUUCCAUGUACCGAUACUUUAUGUCUACAGAAUGUCAAAAAGUUUUUAAAAAAUUAAUGACCCUUGGAACCCGGCAAUAGAACAACACUGGAAUAUGUUACGAAGGACCCAGAGCUCAACCCGGGCCAGGAGGAGGUGCUCAGGCCUUACAGGGAGCCCCCAGGACAACACGGAUCGCCCAGUGACAGAGAUAAUAAAGAACCUGGGAUUUGAAUGAGACAAGAUCCAGGAAUAAGUAACAGAAAGAAAGUACAACAAAGCAAUGGGUACAUGCUUGAUCCUAAGUCCCUGAAAACCAAGGUAAAGAGCACACCAUCAGAGUAAGACCCUGCCCCAAGCCUGAGAGGUUCUGCCCUGAUGGCAGAAGACCAAAGAGCCGGCUAUUCCCCCUGGCCAACCUGGAGUCGAGGACCUCCAUCCCCAACCCAGCCUUCCAUCCCCGGGCCCCAGCGAGGCCCGGGGUGGGCUGCCCCUCCACCUACAGCAGCAGCGGCGGGCCCCCGCAGUGGCGGCCCUCCACGGGGAACCAACACCAAAAACUCUUUUCAUGUUGGGCAGCCUGAUGGUGGGAGCCCAGCCUCUCCCUCUGGCCACAGGCAUGGCCAGCAGGGGGCGGUAACUAGGAGGUUCUUCUGUUUCCCAUUAAGACGUACGUGCUGUAGGCUGUCCACUAACAGAAGCAGAAGUGAAACCAAUAUAAUUUUUAAAAUUGUGGAGAACCAAGGCAGGACCACAGUCAAGACUCUGGCUCAAGCCACAGCCCCUGCAUUUUACACCCAACGAGAAGGCACUGCGCACCAGGGCGGCCAGCCACUGGGGUGCAGGGGUCAGCCAGAGGCUGGGUGCAAGCGCAGUAGGGGCAUGCGCACCUCUCAGGGGGAGGACUUGAUCCAGUGGACAAUGGAGAGGUGAAACCGCUUAGUUCCGAAAGUGGCCUGUAGCCCCCCAGGCGGGUUGGGGGCUGGGGGGCUGGCUCAGAGGAUAGGCCCCCCUCACUGCAGGUCCACCCCUCAGCCCCCACUUGAAUGAAACUUCAGAGACUGAACUGUUUUUCCUGGGGGCCCUUCUCCCCUACGCUGCUCUUCUUUUCUCUCACGUUUGUGGGGGUUCUUAUUAAAGUAUUUGGUUCUUCCAAAUCUUAUAAUAAAUUUGAAGCUCCAGGGAAAAAAUGCUAAGUGUGAUAUCUCC